Gigaspora rosea is the source of this 72-nucleotide non-coding RNA. The record is from the annotation of a GenBank genome assembly. NCBI's taxonomy places the organism in Eukaryota, Fungi, Glomeromycota, Glomeromycetes, Diversisporales, Gigasporaceae.
GGGGUUGUAGCUCAGUGGUAGAGCGCUUGGUUUGCAUCCAAGAGGCCCUGGGUUCGAUACCCAGCAACUCCA